CUACGGGGUGCAGCAGUGGGGAAUAUUGGACAAUGGGCGCAAGCCUGAUCCAGCAAUGCCGCGUGUGUGAAGAAGGCCUGCGGGUUGUAAGGCACUUUCAAUUGGGAGGAAAAGCGGUCGGUUAAUACCCGGCCGACUUGACGUUACCUUUAGAAGAAGCACCGGCUAACUCCGUGCCAGCAGCCGCGGUAAUACGGAGGGUGCAAGCGGUAAUCGGAAUUACUGGGCGUAAAGCGCGCGUAGGUGGCUAGAUAAGUCGGAUGUGAAAGCCCUGGGCUCAACCUGGGAAUGGCAUUCGAUACUGUCUGGCUAGAGUCUGGUAGAGGGAAGUGGAAUUCCAGGUGUAGCGGUGAGAUGCGUAGAUAUCUGGAGGAACACCAGUGGCGAAGGCGACUUCCUGGACCAAGACUGACACUGAGGUGCGAAAGCGUGGGUAGCAAACAGGAUUAGAUACCCCUGUAGUC
Molecule: ribosomal RNA, 464 nt
Filed under: uncultured bacterium
Lineage: Bacteria
Description: partial 16S ribosomal RNA
Rfam family: Bacterial small subunit ribosomal RNA
Source: RNAcentral